Molecule: transfer RNA, 113 nt
Filed under: Candidatus Bathyarchaeota archaeon
Lineage: Archaea; Thermoproteati; Candidatus Bathyarchaeota
Description: tRNA-Ser
Rfam family: tRNA
About the family: Transfer RNA (tRNA) molecules are approximately 80 nucleotides in length. Their secondary structure includes four short double-helical elements and three loops (D, anti-codon, and T loops).
Source: RNAcentral
GCCGGGGUGGCCGAGUCCGGAUUAAUUUACGCAUCGUAAAUUCAAUAGGCGCAGGCCUUGAGAGCCUGUGAUCCUUCGGGAUCUCGGGGGUUCAAAUCCCCUCCCCGGCGCCA